RNAcentral lists this ribosomal RNA (615 nucleotides) under Melolonthinae sp. BMNH 671352. RNAcentral describes it as "partial 16S large subunit ribosomal RNA". It matches the Rfam family "Bacterial large subunit ribosomal RNA", at positions 1844 to 2762 of the family's 2925-position model. Lineage: Eukaryota; Metazoa; Arthropoda; Insecta; Coleoptera; Scarabaeidae. The record is from RNAcentral.
UUUAAAGUCUGACCUGCCCGCUGAGUAUUUGAAGGGCCGCGGUAUUUUGACCGUGCAAAGGUAGCAUAAUAAUUAGUUUUUUAAUUGAAAGCUGGAAUGAAUGGUUGGACGAGAAAAUUACUGUCUUAAUAUUAUUUUAUUAGAAUUUUAUUUUUAAGUUAAAAAGCUUAAUUAUUCUUAAAAGACGAGAAGACCCUAUAGAGUUUAAUAUUUAUUAUUAUUAUAUUUAUUAGGGUUAGGAUUUUUGUGAUAUUAGUAUAUAUUUUGUUGGGGUGAUGGAAAAAUUAAAUAAACUUUUUUUAUGUAGAUUCAUUGAUUAAUGUUUAUAUGAUCCAUAAUUUAUGAUUAUAAGAUAAAAUUACCUUAGGGAUAACAGCGUAAUUAUUUUUAAGAGUUCUUAUCGAAAGAAUAGUUUGCGACCUCGAUGUUGGAUUAAAGUAAACUUUUGGUGUAGAAGCUGAAAAGUUAGGUCUGUUCGACCUUUAAAACUUUACAUGAUCUGAGUUUAAACCGGUGUGAGCCAGGUUGGUUUCUAUCUUUAAUAUAAUUUAAUAUUUUAGUACGAAAGGACCAAAUAUUAAUAAUAUUUAUUUAUUAUUUAGAUUAUUAUUAAUG